RNAcentral lists this ribosomal RNA (1286 nucleotides) under Borodinellopsis texensis. RNAcentral's name for it is "eukaryotic LSU rRNA". The record is from RNAcentral. Lineage: Eukaryota; Viridiplantae; Chlorophyta; Chlorophyceae; Chlamydomonadales; Chlorococcaceae.
CGAGCCGGGUAUCUUGACUGCAUCGUGAUGGGGAUAGAUUAUUGCAAUUAUUAGUCUUCAACGAGGAAUGCCUAGUAAGCGCGAGUCAUCAGCUCGCGUUGAUUACGUCCCUGCCCUUUGUACACACCGCCCGUCGCUCCUACCGAUUGGGUGUGCUGGUGAAGUGUGCGGAUUGGGGCCGGGGGAUGGCGACAUUCCACGGUCUUGAAAAGCACAUUAAACCCUCCCACCUAGAGGAAGGAGAAGUCGUAACAAGGUUUCCGUAGGUGAACCUGCGGAAGGAUCAUUGAAUCAUUUCAACACGUGCGGCGCUUCAAACCCGCCGCACGUCAACCACCGUGAACCUUCUUGUACCGGUCCCCACAUGCCUGCAAAGCCUUCACUGGUGCACACGGGCAUAUGGGCGUGGCGUGGCGCCUUGCAUAUCUUUUGUUUGGCAAAGCGCUGCGGAUUCGGCCGCCCAAAUGUUUUGGGCUGCUGGGUUGGCCCCCCCCCCUUACACAACACAAACACCAAACCUAAACCUCAUGAAGCUAAACGCUGCCAGCUCCUCUGAGCUGCAGCAAAACACAGACAACUCUCAACAACGGAUAUCUUGGCUCUCGCAACGAUGAAGAACGCAGCGAAAUGCGAUACGUAGUGUGAAUUGCAGAAUUACGUGAAUCAUCAAAUCUUUGAACGCACAUUGCGCUCGAGGCCUCGGCCAAGAGCAUGUCUGCUCMGCGUCGGGUUAAAACUCACACGCCCACACCCAUGUGUGUGGAUCAGUGYGGAUCUGGCCGUCCCACGUCUUUGCGGCGUGGGUCGGCUGAAGCGCAGAGGCCGGCACGGGAACCCGCUAACGGGGUUGCAACUGGGUAGAUGCAGUUGGAACGCUGUGCGCAAGCUCAGCCUCUCCUUCUCACAUGCACAGCUGUUGACCUUGGGACGCCGUGUGAUCUUCGGCCCUUCAUACAGGAAAACCUUUUAACCCUUUAAUCCUCGACCUGAGCUCAGGCAAGACCACCCGCUGAACUUAAGCAUAUCAAUAAGCGGAGGAAAAGAAACAAACAUGGAUGCGCUUAGUAACGGCGAGCGAACCGCGCACAGCCCAACUUGAAAAUCUCCCUUUGGAGAAUUGUAGUCUAUAGAAGCGCCCUCUGCGGUGGCGCGGGCCCAAGUCCGCUGGAAGGCGGCGUCAGAGAGGGUGAGAACCCCGUCGGCCCUGCGUUGACCGCUCCACGAGGUGCUUUCCACGAGUCGGGUUGCUUGGGAAUGCAGCCCAAAACGGGAGGUAAUCCUUAAGC